Molecule: long non-coding RNA, 682 nt
Filed under: Marmota monax (woodchuck)
Lineage: Eukaryota; Metazoa; Chordata; Mammalia; Rodentia; Sciuridae
Source: RNAcentral
GCUGGACUAGUGCCGGGCAGUGGUGAAUGUAGAUCCACGGCCUCUGAGCCCACGGGCGGAGACUACAGGCAGAUGGUUGGGUAAGCGGCCUUGAGUCCUGGGUGUGCUUCCGUCUUCUCCCCCGUGUUUCCCUUGCCUCAUCCUUCGGGAUUUGCACAAAUUGCGUUACAAAAUGCCUUCUCUCGCUUCCUUCCACUUGCCCUCCCUCCUUUUUUCUCAGGAUUUGCUGAGAGCCAGGCACUGUGGUAAGCUUGUUUCCCCACCAGCACCUAAAAGCAAAACAAAUACCACACAAAAAACAACCCCAAAUACUGCUGUGUUCACCCCCUUACUUGAAAACUCCACGCUGCCUCUAAGGAUAUGUUUAGUGCUGCAGGUGCUCAUGGGUGGAGAGGGAAAGGUUGUUAACUAGUUGCUUGGGAAACAGACAUUUAUUUGUGCAGAUCUCUCUGAUGGACAAUAUUCCGGACAUCCUGUAGAAUCCUCCAGCAGAAGCUGUGGACUCAGACGGCCUUGGCUCAGAUCUCUUCUUCCACUACCAGGCUGUGGCCACCUGCAAAUUACCUUCUUCACUGAAGCCCAGGUUUCCUUAUACGUAAAAUGAUGAGGCUGUUACAGCAGGAUUAAUUUAAUAUUAGAUUAGUUAAUAUGUGUUAUUGAUUUGUUUUUGUUUUUGUUUGGC